GAACCUCUCGACCCCAUCUUUGCUGUAGUUUGCUAUAGUUUUCUUUCUCAGCCACGCUGUGCAUGUUCUCGGGACCUGAUCGACUUUGCCGGCUGGCGCAGGGCGCGAUGGCGCCCGAACAGGGACUCAGGAAUCGGAGCGCGACGACGGCCGCUGCCCGCCAGGAUUGAAGAUGCUGAAGCACCACGCUGGCUGCCAGAAAGGUUGGUACGCACGGCGGAGACGAUCUCUAGUAAACCAGAUGAGGAGAUUGACUAUUCAAGAACAUGAUAAAUUACCAUCUCGACAACAACUCCAGACAUUGAUGCGAGAGACACAGAAUCGUGCUGCUGUGCAGGGCAAUCCGAUAUCACCUUUAAGCUUCCUGAUAACCUUAUUAAUUAUCUUAAAUCAGAUUAAUACUAAAUACUAAUUCUAAAAAAUAUUCAAAUGCUUACUGGGCUUAUUUUCCUGAUCCUCCCCUUCUCCAACCGGUGGGCUGGGAGGGUCGGUCCAUUCCCAUAUACACUAAUGAUACUGUGGCUUUGGGUGGUUUUUCAGAUAAACAUAUUAUUCCUAAUCAAGUUAAUGUCUCUUAUCAUGGAGUGUUUGAUCGUUUACCUAUCUGUCUGUCUAGAUAUUUUAAUUCAACAGGAUGCCUUUUUGUUGGGGAGGCAAGAUAUGCCAAUUCUGACAGUAGUUGGAACCUGGACAUUCCUGGAGUAACAAAAAAAUCUGGAAUUCCUCAACGUCGUAAUGGGACUAGUCCUUUAGAUAUCCCUUUCUGUGACUUUGAAACAAGGGGAAGAGUCACUGCAGCACCAUGGAAACUGUGUCGAGAUGGAACUGCUAUGGUUUAUAACAUAUUUGGGACAAAUGAUUCACUGUGGGACUGGUCUCCAGACUCGGCCCGAAACCCUGGAGCUCAGGACAAUAGAAACUUUGCAUCUCGUAUUUGGAAUUUAGGUGGCUCUAAAGUGUUCCAAACAGAAAUCUGGAAAUUAGCUGCUGCCCUUGGAUGUGAGGGUUCCUACCUUCAGGUGGUAUCGAAAGUGAGACACGGUUAUUUGUGGAAUCUUACCAUGAGGUACCCUCCUGCAUGUGUGCCUCAACCUUAUGUUUUACUAGUAGGAUCUGUAAAUAUACAACCUGGGUUACGAAAUUAUGAUGUAACUUGUAACAAUUGUACUUUGACUAACUGCAUUAGGGGAAUUACUAAUCAAACUAGGGUUCUAGUCUUAAGACAGCCUGCUUUUGUUAUGGUUCCUGUAAAGAUCAAUGGGUCUUGGUAUGAUGAAAGAGGACUUGAACUUUGGAGAGAAGUAGAGGGUGCUUUAAUGCGUUAUCGCAGGGGAAUAGGGUUAAUAAUUCUGGGAUUUGUAGCUUUGGUAACCCUUAUUGCCUCCUCGAUUACUGCAGCCCUGACCCUGGCACAAUCAGUGCAAACUGCAACUUUUGUUAAUAAUCUGGCACAAAAUGUAUCUGUUACCCUGGGGACUCAAGAAAAUAUUGACAAAAAGCUAGAGGAUCGAUUGAAUGCCCUUUAUGAUGUUGUAAAAUUUUUAGGUGAAGAGGUUCAAAGUAUAAAGUUGAGAUUACGGGUACAAUA
Long non-coding RNA from Bubalus bubalis (water buffalo), 1588 nucleotides. RefSeq lists it as uncharacterized. The transcript is spliced from 2 exons. Lineage: Eukaryota; Metazoa; Chordata; Mammalia; Artiodactyla; Bovidae. The record is from RefSeq and is a predicted model, not a curated record.